AAAAAGGAUAAAGGAGAAAAUGGGAAUAAUUCAUCUUCUACACCUAUACAAAUUCUCCUCACACCUUCAAUAGCCUGGUGAAUUCUCAACUUGCUCAGAAAAUUCCCCAAAAAAGGAAAUUCUUAACUCAUCACCCACAGUUUAUACUAAUAUUGUAGCUAUAUUUUUUAAGAUGAAACAUAUACAUUAACAGAAUUUUAAAUUUGUUGCCACAGAAGCCUGAUUCCCAUCUUACCUCAAUUCUUCUAAGCGCUAUUCACAGUGAGAGGGGAAACCAAAAUAGACUCCAAAUAAAUAAUUAAACAAUUCUAAGAGCCACUUGGCUCUCUUCACAUCAACAGCUCCGACACCCAUCCAACAUCCGGACCAUUUGAAGACUGCCCCGGAUCUUGGUCGACCUGGCCUAGAGAGUAAUCCUUGCUCAAUUUCUCAAACAUCUUUGCACGCAGGCCCCUUCCUGAUUCCACUCUCUCCAUCGCAGGCUC
This 485-nucleotide unclassified non-coding RNA is filed under the name Hevea brasiliensis (rubber tree). The record is from RNAcentral. Lineage: Eukaryota; Viridiplantae; Streptophyta; Magnoliopsida; Malpighiales; Euphorbiaceae.